GGCCCUUUAGCUCAGUGGUUAGAGCAGGCGACUCAUAAUCGCUUGGUCGUUGGUUCAAACCCAACAGGGGCCACCA
Molecule: transfer RNA, 76 nt
Filed under: Escherichia coli
Lineage: Bacteria; Pseudomonadati; Pseudomonadota; Gammaproteobacteria; Enterobacterales; Enterobacteriaceae
Also listed under: 94 other names
Description: tRNA-Met
Rfam family: tRNA
About the family: Transfer RNA (tRNA) molecules are approximately 80 nucleotides in length. Their secondary structure includes four short double-helical elements and three loops (D, anti-codon, and T loops). Further hydrogen bonds mediate the characteristic L-shaped molecular structure. tRNAs have two regions of fundamental functional importance: the anti-codon, which is responsible for specific mRNA codon recognition, and the 3' end, to which the tRNAs corresponding amino acid is attached (by aminoacyl-tRNA synthetases). tRNAs cope with the degeneracy of the genetic code in two manners: having more than one tRNA (with a specific anti-codon) for a particular amino acid; and 'wobble' base-pairing, i.e. permitting non-standard base-pairing at the 3rd anti-codon position.
Source: RNAcentral